CCUACGGGGGGCAGCAGUGGGGAAUAUUGGACAAUGGGGGAAACCCUUAUCCAGCGACGCCGCGUGAGGGAAGAAGGUUUUCGGAUUGUAAACCUCUGUCAGUGGGGACGAUAAUGACGGUACCCACGGAGGAAGCCACGGCUAACUACGUGCCAGCAGCCGCGGUAAUACGUAGGUGGCAAGCGUUGUCCGGAAUUACUGGGUGUAAAGGGAGCGUAGGCGGGGUGUCAAGUCAGAAGUGAAAAUUAUGGGCUCAACUCAUAACCUGCUUUUGAAACUGAUAUUCUUGAGUGAAGUAGAGGCAA
Molecule: ribosomal RNA, 305 nt
Filed under: uncultured bacterium
Lineage: Bacteria
Description: bacterial SSU rRNA
Rfam family: Bacterial small subunit ribosomal RNA
Source: RNAcentral